CCUACGGGAGGCAGCAGUGGGGAAUAUUGGACAAUGGGGGGAACCCUGAUCCAGCGACGCCGCGUGAGUGAAGAAGUAUUUCGGUAUGUAAAGCUCUAUCAGCAGGGAAGAAAGAAAUGACGGUACCUGACUAAGAAGCCCCGGCUAACUACGUGCCAGCAGCCGCGGUAAUACGUAGGGGGCAAGCGUUAUCCGGAUUUACUGGGUGUAAAGGGAGCGUAGACGGCGAUGCAAGUCUGAAGUGAAAGGCGGGGGCCCAACCUCCGGACUGCUUUGGAAACUGUAUGGCUGGAGUGCAGGAGAGGUAAGUGGAAUUCCUAGUGUAGCGGUGAAAUGCGUAGAGAUUAGGAGGAACACCAGUGGCGAAGGCGGCUUACUGGACUGUAACUGACGUUGAGGCUCGAAAGCGUGGGGAGCAAACAGGAUUAGAUACCCGGGUAGUC
RNAcentral lists this ribosomal RNA (443 nucleotides) under uncultured bacterium. Its description in RNAcentral is "partial 16S ribosomal RNA". It matches the Rfam family "Bacterial small subunit ribosomal RNA", at positions 338 to 795 of the family's 1533-position model. The record is from RNAcentral.